Long non-coding RNA from Alosa alosa (allis shad), 498 nucleotides. RefSeq lists it as uncharacterized. The transcript is spliced from 2 exons. The record is from RefSeq and is a predicted model, not a curated record. Lineage: Eukaryota; Metazoa; Chordata; Actinopteri; Clupeiformes; Clupeidae.
GCUAAAGGAAUGAUGUCAUCGCUACAGAAAUUUCUACCGCAGCAAUAUCUGCAGUGACAAGAGAGAACUGGUGUAGUUCUUUCACUAAAGACAGACUAGACAAGUAUAUUCUGCUUAAGAUUUAAACCAAUGUCGAUAACUACCAGUGCAAUUAUCCGCGCAACGUUAUGGUGGUAGUUGUUUCACAAAAUCACUAAUGGGAAUUGACUGAAGCACUAUGUGAAUGACGUCAUCAACGAUGUGGCUGUGAGUUCUGUCACCACGAACAGCGGUCGGAGACCCAGUCGUAGCCUACUUUGGUAAAGGUGUUUUUUCCCCCAUUCUAUUGGACAAAUAUAAAUAUCCUGAUGUCUUCUAAAAUGAACGGAUUAGUAGGCCUAUAACACUUUUUGAAGCUUACUCUGAUGAAAUGUUGCUAGUCUAGAACUAUUCCCAUGCAGUAUAUUUCUGGUUUUAAGAAAGCUGUGCACCAAUAAAACAAUAUAGGCCUAAGUUCCA